AUAACAAUACAGGACUCUUUAGAGUCCCUGUAAUUGUAAUGAGUCCACUUGAAAUCCUUUAACUCUGAUCAAUUGGAGGGAAGUCUGGUGCAGAGCCACUGACCCGUGUGUGCUGCAGCUGAAACUCCACUAUCACCUGCUGCUCACACAGUCUCAUGAGGCGGUGAAUGGGAAGGCAGUGAAUGUCACAUCCUGUUCCAA
This is a non-coding RNA of Pelobates cultripes (western spadefoot toad), 201 nucleotides long. Lineage: Eukaryota; Metazoa; Chordata; Amphibia; Anura; Pelobatidae. The record is from the annotation of a GenBank genome assembly.